CCACUCGCUCAAUGGAUGGGCGAGUUCCUGAAGGAUGUAUCUGGCUAGUAUUGACUCGGCCAAUGGUUGGACGAGUCUUGUAGAGAUUAUUUGGCCAUGUGUGGACUCGGCUAAUGGAUGGCCGUGUUGAUGAAAGUCUCGACCAAUGAAUGGUUGAGUAUUCACGUCUUAAUUUUCUAUAAAUAGCUUGAAGUCUAGAAAUGUAGUUCAAAUUACACAACAAAUUGUUUUAGUAAGAAAGUCUGUUUGGGGUCAUGUGUUUUAUGGGCAAGACAAAAAAAACCAGUGUUUGUCUAGAUCCGCAAUGGAAUUUCAAAACACUGAUUGAAGCCAUCCACACUGGUUUUCGACAAUUGGACGAGCGUUGUAUGAAGGUGAGAAAAGUAGAGUACCGUUGUCCAUACAUAACGUUGACUGAUGCAAGCCCCGAUGGUACGUACAUGUGUUACCUGGAUCACAUAGAAAAUGAUGUAGAUGUUUAGUGUAUGUUUUCAGCACAUAGUGGUGAAGUUAACAGAUGAGUUGAAUGUCCACUUAUGUUGGUUGUUGUUGAUUAGUUAGUUAAUAAGCUCUGUGAAUUUAAGUUGUUGUGAUUGUACUUUGUAACCAGAAGCCUUUUAUUAUCAAAUGUAUUCCAUAAUGUAUGUUUCCAAAAGAGAUUAUAUAUACACAAGGGUUGA
This is a long non-coding RNA of Lathyrus oleraceus (garden pea), 680 nucleotides long. RefSeq lists it as uncharacterized. The record is from RefSeq and is a predicted model, not a curated record. The transcript has 2 exons. Lineage: Eukaryota; Viridiplantae; Streptophyta; Magnoliopsida; Fabales; Fabaceae.